This 117-nucleotide small nuclear RNA is filed under the name Microcebus murinus (gray mouse lemur). RNAcentral describes it as "U5 spliceosomal RNA (ENSMICG00000047681.1)". It matches the Rfam family "U5 spliceosomal RNA". Rfam says of the family: U5 RNA is a component of both types of known spliceosome. The precise function of this molecule is unknown, though it is known that the 5' loop is required for splice site selection and p220 binding, and that both the 3' stem-loop and the Sm site are important for Sm protein binding and cap methylation. The record is from Rfam by way of RNAcentral. Lineage: Eukaryota; Metazoa; Chordata; Mammalia; Primates; Cheirogaleidae.
AUACUCUAGUUUCUCUUCAAAAUAAAAAAAUAUUUUGCAUUUUACUAAAAAUUUCUAUGGAAAGGAACAGUUAUGAGUUAGUAACCAAAUUUUUUGAAGCCUUGCUCAGGCCAGUCU